RNAcentral lists this ribosomal RNA (468 nucleotides) under uncultured bacterium. RNAcentral's name for it is "partial 16S ribosomal RNA". It matches the Rfam family "Bacterial small subunit ribosomal RNA", at positions 28 to 507 of the family's 1533-position model. The record is from RNAcentral.
GGCGAACGCUGGCGGCGUGCUUAACACAUGCAAGUCGAACGGAAAGGCCCUGCUUUUGUGGGGUGCUCGAGUGGCGAACGGGUGAGUAACACGUGAGUAACCUGCCCUUGACUUUGGGAUAACUUCAGGAAACUGGGGCUAAUACCGGAUAGGAGCUCCUGCUGCAUGGUGGGGGUUGGAAAGUUUCGGCGGUUGGGGAUGGACUCGCGGCUUAUCAGCUUGUUGGUGGGGUAGUGGCUUACCAAGGCUUUGACGGGUAGCCGGCCUGAGAGGGUGACCGGCCACAUUGGGACUGAGAUACGGCCCAGACUCCUACGGGAGGCAGCAGUGGGGAAUAUUGCACAAUGGGCGGAAGCCUGAUGCAGCAACGCCGCGUGCGGGAUGACGGCCUUCGGGUUGUAAACCGCUUUCGCCUGUGACGAAGCGUGGGUGACGGUAAUGGGUAAAGAAGCACCGGCUAACUACGUG